GGUUCGAUUAUGGCUCAGAUUGAACGCUGGCGGGAUGCUACACAUACAGUCGAACGGCACGGACUUCGGUCUGGUGGCGAAGGUGGCGAACGAGGUGAGUAAUGUAUCGGAACGACCCAGUAGCGGGGAUAACUACGCGAAAGCGUAGCUAAUACCGCAUACGCCCUUCGGGGAAAGCAGAGACCUUGGGCCUCACACUAUUGAAACGGCCGAUAUCGGAUUAGCUAGUUGGUGGGGUAACGGCUCACCAGGCGACGAUCCGUAGCUGGUUUGAAGGACGACCAGCUACGGAUCGUCGCCUUGGUGAGCCGUUACCAACUGUAUCCGAUAUCGGCCACUGCUAGUGCAGGUCUUGCGAUCCCUAACCCCCGUAGGAGCGUAUGCGGUAUUAACGCUUUCGCGUGGGUUAUCUGCCCGCUGCAGGCGUUCCCUACUCACCCGCCAGGCAGAAGUCCAGCCGUUCGACACUUUGCAUAGUGUAAACAUCCAUAUGAC
This 495-nucleotide unclassified non-coding RNA is filed under the name uncultured Bordetella sp. Its description in RNAcentral is "partial 16S-23S ribosomal RNA intergenic spacer". It matches the Rfam family "Bacterial small subunit ribosomal RNA", at positions 10 to 473 of the family's 1533-position model. Lineage: Bacteria; Pseudomonadati; Pseudomonadota; Betaproteobacteria; Burkholderiales; Alcaligenaceae. The record is from RNAcentral.